CUAGAAGUUGUUGAACCAGUAGAGUACAUAUUGGAUGACAAACGCAAAAGAACACUGCUGAACAUCCCAAUCUUGCCGUUUUUACAGCUGCUUUUGAGUAACAAUUACAUUCUUGACACAACUUUAGAUAUUCAAACCAUGUCAGAAGUUGGACAAGAAACACUGGUAUAUGCAUCUUAUUAUGAUGGUAUGCAUUUCAAGAGCAAUUUUUUUUUUAUCGUGUGAGUUUCAAAUAUUGCUGAACUUGAAUGUUGACGAUUUUUAAAUUUGCAACCUGCCUGGCACUUCCAGUAAAAGGCACAAAAUCUGUCGGCAAUUUACCACCAGGUGAAAGCUCCUCACUGUCUUCCAUAUAUUUGGCAAUACUUGGCCGAUCAGAUGAUGUUAGGACCUAUGAAAAUGAAAAAUCCUUGAGUCCUUGCUGCAAGAUCUUUCCACAUUGGAAAGCCAGGGAAUUUUUAUUGCACAGCAUGGUUGCAUUAAAGGCACAGUGCAGACUGUCAUAGUAGACAAUCUGGGAGCACAUGGAAUUGCUGGCUUUGUAGAGAGUUUCUCCGGCGAAUGUGUGUGCCGGUUUUGUACUGCGAAAAAGUCUGAAAUUGAGUCUGAAGGUGAGUUCUCAUGAUUUCACUCUCAGUACUAAAGAGAUGCAUGAACUGCAGUAUCUCAGGUCAGCAGUAGACACUGAAGAGGCUUGUUGUGGUGUAAAAAGACAGUGUGUUUUGUCUGAACGUCUUUCCCAUUUCAGUGUCAGUAAUGGGUACCCACCUGGUAUUGCUCAUAAUAUAUUUGAAGGCAUAUUACAAGUUGGGUUAGCACACUGCCUACAGUUGUUGAUUUCUAAGAGAUUUUUCACUCUCAACAGUCUCAAUGAAUUAAUCGAAAAAUUUCCUUACAAAUGGACAGACAAAACGAAUCGCCCUCAUAUUGUUCCAUGUGCUUUCAUAGCCAACAGAAGCAUUGGAGGCAAUGCUCAUGAAAAUUGGAGUCUUUUAUGGUUACUUCCAUUCUUGGUUGGACAGCAGAUACCUCCAUAUGAGCCAGCUUGGCAGGUCCUUAUGGAGCUUAAGGAUAUUGCUGAGUUAGUUGUGGCACCAGUGCAAACAACAGAAUCAGUUGCCUUCACAGUGACCAUAGGCACAAGUUGCAAGACGUUUUUCCAGACAUGAAACUUUUGCCGAAACAUCAUGUUGAACAUUAUCCACAGAUGAUCAGAUUUUUUGGACCUUUAGUAGGGAUGUGGAAUCUGAGAUCUGACACAAAGCAUCACUUUUUUAAGCAAGUUGUUUGUUACACACAUUGCUUUAAAAACAUACUCUUGUUUCUGGUGAUGAAACAUCAGUUCAUCAGGCAUAUAACUUGGAGUCAGCUACCAUUGAAAAGAGUAGCAUGAUUGUAACAGCUGUCUCAACUGUUCCCUUUGGUAUUUUGAAUCAGGAUGUAGUUAAUGCUCUUAAGCAAACAUAUCCUGAUUUGACUUGUAUUCAUCUUGCAAAGAAUGUGUCUGUUGAUGGAAUAAACUACAGGAAUGGCAUGAUUGUUGUUCAUGGCCUUUCUGAUAGCUUGCCAGAUUUUGCUGAGAUUGUCCAGGUGGUUAUAGUGGAGUAGAGUUUGAGUUUCAUUGUGAAAGAUAUGAGUGCUUGGUAUUGGGAGCAUUUGUCACUGAAUGGUGUCACUUAAGAUUUAUACACACAAGAGGUUAGGUUCAGUAUGUUUUAAAUAGUUCAUUAAAAGUACAAGUACAAGUUUAAAAUUUGUACAUAAUACCAGUCAAAAGUCUAACAUUACUGAUUCAUAGAGAGGUUGCUUUUACUGUACUAUAAGUCCUUUAGUUCUUGUGCAGUCCAUUGUCCAUCAGGUAAUUUAAUAUAAAUUCUCUGUCUCUUAAUUAUAUUGAGUAAAUAUUACUAUGAAGCUCAGAGUCACUGUGGAAGAAAAUGACUUCAGAAGAUCAGACCUCUCAUCGGGGAUGCAAGAUGCAAGUGUUCAGAAUUUACAUGAUACUGUUCGUCAAGCAUUUGGCAUUGAAAGAGACUUCCGGCUUCAGUAAAUGGAUGCAGACUUUAAUAAUGAAUUCAUGAAUCUGACAUCAAUUCAAGAUAUAAAAGACAAAAGUACCAUCAAGUUGAUCUACCUGGCAAAUGAUUCUCAUUAUCCUCUCUGAAGAUGAGUCCAGGGCUCAAGUCUGGCAUCUUGGAAAAGCUGGCUGAAGAUGUUUUCCAGUACACUGCAUACCCACAUGUUCCCCAGAUAGAUGAGGCUGCAAAGGCACUUGUUGAAAAGUUUCCAUGUUUGAGAGAAAAAGGAUCAAUGAAGGGGUAUAGUGGGUGGAUAUUCAGCCUCAAGCACAAAAUGGCAGGACGCAACAUUAGUUGUCCCGAAGUCACUCUUAAUUCACUGAAGGACAGGUCCAGGGAUGAAUGCUUUCCAGCCAAAAAUGUGAAGAAACCCAAAAGAGCCAAAGUUAACUUUUGCCCUCCUAAUCGUACUGGAGAAACAGAUGAAAGCCUUGAAAAACUGAGAUGUGAGCUACUCAUUGAUUUCAGACAGAGGACGAGAACGAGAACAUCAGUAGGAAAAGAAAAGAUGUCCAAAAUGUUCUCCUACAGAAGAAAGAAUGUGGUGCAGAACAGUCCAAUGAUUGAGGACUUUAAAACUCCAGUGGUCUGCACUUUUCCAGGUUGAGAUUGGUGCCGAAUUCCAGCGCAUUACUACCAUCACCCUUGAAAACACCUUUAUGGCACAAUUGGACAAUUACUGCUGUCCUCCAGAAAAAAAAGAGGUGCUUCUGUACAGAAAAUGGACAAAUUUCAGGAUUUUCCAGAUUUUACAGGACAUGUGAUGUCCUAUCUAAAGAGAGAAGAUAUCCUCAAAGCUCUUUUCAUCUACCUUGGUGAGGAUGAGGGAUGCCUAGUGAAGGAGUACAUGAGAGCAGAGGCCAUCCACACUGGAUCCACACCAUCUAAAAUAAUAUCAACUAAUCUUUGACUAAGGUACUUUAAAUAACAUGUCAAACAUUCAGCUUGUUCAGUGUGUUGAAUGCAGGAUGUUUAGUUAUUCAUCCGCCGUCGUUAGUAAUAGCUUUACUACGCAUUGAGGAACACUUUUCCAACAACAACUCUAGGGAAAUGUGGCAAGGAAUAAAGACCCUCACUGGCUACAAGAAAAGUCACACAGACAUAAACCCCAUAGACAGCACUCUGCCAGACACUCUGAACCAUUACUUUUCUCACUUUGACCAGCGAAACAGUGACGUCUGCAGCCAUCCUUCACUGCCAGGAAAGGAUGACCCGAUACAGCUACACCAGCAUCAGGUCAGAUCCACUCUACGCAGGGUCAACGCGAGGAAAGCAGCUGGUCCAGAUGGAGUCACUGGAUGGAUCUUGAAGGCCUGUGCAGACCAGUUGGCAGAGGUAUUUACCACCAUUUUCAACCUCUCGCUAUUACAGUCCGCUGACCCCACCUGCCUCAAGUCAGCGACGAUCAUCCCAGUUCCAAAGAAAACCACAGUGAACUGCCUGAAUGACUAUCGUCCAGUUGCUCUAACCCCUAUCAUCACCAAAUGAUUUGAGAGACUCAUACUCUCUCGCAUCAAAGCUGUCAUCCCUGCCAACCUCGACCAAAACCAGUUUGCUUACCGAGCAAACAGAUCGACAAAAGAUGCAGUGAUCAAAGCUCUCUUACACUGUACUUACACAUGUGGAUGACGGAAACACUUAUGUAAGAAUGCUGUUUGUGGAUUUCAGUUCAGCUUUUAAUACAGUCAUCCCCCACAAACUCGUUCAAAAACUGAGCAACUUGGGCCUAGGCAGUUCACUGUGCACAUGGAUACUGGACCUCCUGCGCAACAGACCUCAGAAUGUCAGCAUGGGAGGUCACACAUCAUCAACUCUCAUACUGAACACUGGCACACCACAGGGGUGUGUCCUC
Pangasianodon hypophthalmus (striped catfish) is the source of this 3930-nucleotide long non-coding RNA. RefSeq lists it as uncharacterized. Lineage: Eukaryota; Metazoa; Chordata; Actinopteri; Siluriformes; Pangasiidae. The transcript is spliced from 4 exons. The record is from RefSeq and is a predicted model, not a curated record.